GAUAUUGACUUAGUCGACAUCAUUCUAAUUGGCGACUGCACGGAUACUGAAAACCCGGAGUAUGUGUUGGGAAAAUGUGCUACCAGUAUCAAGGAAGACCCACCACUGUAUUACUUGGAGACCAGCUGUCCUACGCAUUUCAUCCAGUGUGACGAGCAUGGAGGUGCAGAUAUAAAACCCUGUGCACCUGAAACUGAAUGGUGUCAACAAAAGUUAACAUGUGACCAUGUCGGCAGUUGUGAUACUUAACUAUAUACUAUCAGAACGUAGAGGACCUCAUCGAUAUUAUCAGAUUUCAUGUAACUUCUUAAAACGUUGAUUUUAGUUUUAUCUGUGUUAUAGAAAUUCACAAGAAAAUCAACUUUAAGUUAUCUCCGUAUUUUCAUCUGCAUAAUUGUCUUCCAUUAUAAAUUCAGUGUUCAUCAAUUACAUCGUAUUAAUAAAUGUAUUUCUGCA
Long non-coding RNA from Mytilus californianus (California mussel), 456 nucleotides. RefSeq lists it as uncharacterized. NCBI's taxonomy places the organism in Eukaryota, Metazoa, Mollusca, Bivalvia, Mytilida, Mytilidae. The transcript is spliced from 3 exons. The record is from RefSeq and is a predicted model, not a curated record.